RNAcentral lists this long non-coding RNA (633 nucleotides) under Zea mays. RNAcentral's name for it is "long non-coding RNA NONZMAT002595". Lineage: Eukaryota; Viridiplantae; Streptophyta; Magnoliopsida; Poales; Poaceae. The record is from RNAcentral.
GGGAUUUUACAGAAGCAGUCAUCCCGAAAAGAAAAUUCAGGCCAACCGCUUCAUCAGCCAGGACCCAAGAGGGGCACAGGCGCACAGCAGUUUAUUAUCAUGGAACUGUUUUUUUUUAAAAAAAAAGAGAGAGAGGGGGGCAUAUUUCCACUGCAAGUGUCGGUAUCCGUGUUAAAAUACGCGUGAUUUUACAAUUUUGUUACAAUAAUAUGAACCGAUGCAACCAGGCAGAGUUUAAUACAGACCAGUUCAGUCUGAAUUCUAACACUACACAGCAGAGCAGCAAAGCAGUUUCCUCUUAAAUAACAGCAAGAAUAUUCAGUUUCCAGGCCUGUGCUGUGACCUGUGAAGCAGGCAACAGCAACUCUGCAGUCUGCACUCCUGCCAACUUGUCAAAGCCCUUGCAUCGUUGGAAGAAACUAGAACAUGAGGCACCCUUACGGGCGCCCUAUCGACGAUGACGCAUAAUUCGUAAACAGGAAAGCAGAACCAGCCAUCUAAAAGAACAUAAGAACUCUAAUUAACCAAUGGCACAUAAAUAGGAGGUCCUGAAGUAGAUUCGUACCUUGAGGAAAGCGUGAAGGGUACAAGCAAUGGUUGUAGUAGCUGGGAGAGAAUUGAGAAAUAAACAUG